This 759-nucleotide ribosomal RNA is filed under the name uncultured bacterium. RNAcentral's name for it is "bacterial SSU rRNA". It matches the Rfam family "Bacterial small subunit ribosomal RNA", at positions 28 to 774 of the family's 1533-position model. The record is from RNAcentral.
GACGAACGCUGGCGGCGUGCUUAACACAUGCAAGUCAAGGAGAAAGCGAUUUUCGGAUUGCAAGUAAACUGGCGAACGGGUGAGUAAUAUGUAAGUAACCUACCUAUGGGACUGGGAUAACGUCGAGAAAUCGGCGCUAAUACCAGAUAAUGCAGCGGCAUCGCAUGAUGAUGUUGUUAAAGUCAUUUAUGGCACCUAUAGAUGGGCUUGCAUCUGAUUAGUUAGUUGGUAAGGUAACGGCUUACCAAGGCAACGAUCAGUAGCUGGUCUGAGAGGAUGAUCAGCCACACUGGAACUGACACACGGUCCAGACUCCUACGGGAGGCAGCAGUGAGGAAUAUUGCGCAAUGGGGGAAACCCUGACGCAGCAACGCCGCGUGAGUGAUGAAGGCCUUUGGGUCGUAAAGCUCUGUCUGGUGGGAAGAACCAGGACUGUUCGAAUAGGGCAGUCCCCUGACCGUACCACCAAAGAAAGCACCGGCUAACUCCGUGCCAGCAGCCGCGGUAAUACGGAGGGUGCAAGCGUUAUUCGGAUUUAUUGGGCGUAAAGGGCGCGUAGGCGGCCGCUUAAGUCUGAUGUGAAAGCCCGGGGCUCAACCCCGGAAGUGCAUUGGAUACUGGCGGACUUGAGUACGGGAGAGGGAAGUGGAAUUCCGAGUGUAGGGGUGAAAUCCGUAGAUAUUCGGAGGAACACCGGUGGCGAAAGCGGCUUCCUGGACCAAUACUGACGCUGAGGCGCGAAGGCGUGGGUAGCAAACA